RNAcentral lists this ribosomal RNA (501 nucleotides) under uncultured bacterium. RNAcentral's name for it is "partial 16S ribosomal RNA". It matches the Rfam family "Bacterial small subunit ribosomal RNA", at positions 30 to 523 of the family's 1533-position model. The record is from RNAcentral.
AUUGAACGCUGGCGGCAGGCUUAACACAUGCAAGUCGAGCGGGGGAAGGUAGCUUGCUACCGGACCUAGCGGCGGACGGGUGAGUAAUGCUUAGGAAUCUGCCUAUUAGUGGGGGACAACAUCUCGAAAGGGAUGCUAAUACCGCAUACGUCCUACGGGAGAAAGCAGGGGAUCUUCGGACCUUGCGCUAAUAGAUGAGCCUAAGUCGGAUUAGCUAGUUGGUGGGGUAAAGGCCUACCAAGGCGACGAUCUGUAGCGGGUCUGAGAGGAUGAUCCGCCACACUGGGACUGGGACACGGCCCAGACUCCUACGGGAGACAGCAGUGGGGAAUAUUGGACAAUGGGGGGAACCCUGAUCUAGCCAUGCCGCGUGUGUGAAGAAGGCCUUAUGGUUGUAAAGCACUUUAAGCGAGGAGGAGGCUACUUUAGUUAAUACCUAGAGAUAGUGGACGUUACUCGCAGAAUAAGCACCGGCUAACUCUGUGCCAGCCGCCGCGGUAA